AACGAACGCUGGCGGCGUGCCUAACACAUGCAAGUCGAACGAGCCCUUCGGGUCUAUUCUCGCCCGGGUUCGUCACGCGUCGGAACCUUCCCUUGUGUUCGACAUACCUCCCCGACAGGGAUGCUUAUACCGAAUCAUGUCUUCUACCCAAUGAUUUAUCGCCUUUGAUUGGUCCCUCGUUGGAUUAGCUAGUUCUUAGGGGAAUAGCCUACCACGGCGCCAAUUCAUAGAUGGUCUGAGAGGAUGAUUAGCCACACUGGGAGUGAGACACGGCCCAGAAUCCUACGGGAGGCAGCAGUGGGGAAUAUUGGAAAAUGGGCGAAAGGAUGAUCCAGCAAUGACGCGUGAGUGAUGAAGUCAUUAGGGUUGUAAAGAGCUUGUAACCGGGAUGAUAAUGACAGUACCGGGAGAAUAAGCCACGGCUAACUCCGUG
This 433-nucleotide ribosomal RNA is filed under the name uncultured bacterium. RNAcentral's name for it is "partial 16S ribosomal RNA". It matches the Rfam family "Bacterial small subunit ribosomal RNA", at positions 29 to 507 of the family's 1533-position model. The record is from RNAcentral.